CAGCCGCCACGGGAAUACGUAGGGUGCGAGCGUUAAUCGGAAUUACUGGGCGUAAAGCGCGCACAGGCGGUUGUGCAAGACAAAUGUGAAAUCCCCGAGCUUAACUUGGGAACUGCAUUUGUGACUGCACGGCUAAAGUGUGUCAGAGGGGGGUAGAAUUCCACGUGUAGCAGUGAAAUGCGUAGAUAUGUGGAGGAAUACCGAUGGCGAAGGCAGCCCCCUGGGAUAACACUGACGCUCAUGCACGAAAGCGUGGGGAGCAAACAGGAUUAGAUACCCGCGUAGUCCCUGUCUCUUAUAC
RNAcentral lists this ribosomal RNA (301 nucleotides) under uncultured bacterium. Its description in RNAcentral is "partial 16S ribosomal RNA". It matches the Rfam family "Bacterial small subunit ribosomal RNA", at positions 509 to 807 of the family's 1533-position model. The record is from RNAcentral.